UCGUGCGGAAACGAGUUAUCUGAACCUUCGGGGGACGAUAACGGCGUCCAGCGGCGGACGGGUGAGUAAUGCCUAGGAAAUUGCCCUGAUGUGGGGGAUAACCAUUGGAAACGAUGGCUAAUACCGCAUAAUACCUUCGGGUCAAAGAGGGGGACCUUCGGGCCUCUCGCGUCAGGAUAUGCCUAGGUGGGAUUAGCUAGUUGGUGAGGUAAUGGCUCACCAAGGCGACGAUCCCUAGCUGGUCUGAGAGGAUGAUCAGCCACACUGGAACUGAGACACGGUCCAGACUCCUACGGGAGGCAGCAGUGGGGAAUAUUGCACAAUGGGCGCAAGCCUGAUGCAGCCAUGCCGCGUGUGUGAAGAAGGCCUUCGGGUUGUAAAGCACUUUCAGUCGUGAGGAAGGUAGUGUAGUUAAUAGCUGCAUUAUUUGACGUUAGCGACAGAAGAAGCACCGGCUAACUCCGUGCCAGCAGCCGCGGUAAUACGGAGGGUGCGAGCGUUAAUCGGAAUUACUGGGCGUAAAGCGCAUGCAGGUGGGUUGUUAAGUCAGAUGUGAAAGCCCGGGGCUCAACCUCGGAAUAGCAUUUGAAACUGGCACACUAUAGUACUGUAGAGGGGGG
RNAcentral lists this ribosomal RNA (620 nucleotides) under Vibrio harveyi. Its description in RNAcentral is "bacterial SSU rRNA". It matches the Rfam family "Bacterial small subunit ribosomal RNA", at positions 62 to 661 of the family's 1533-position model. Lineage: Bacteria; Pseudomonadati; Pseudomonadota; Gammaproteobacteria; Vibrionales; Vibrionaceae. The record is from RNAcentral.